CCCUUAGAUGUUCUGGGCCGCACGCGCGCUACACUGAUGCAUUCAACGAGUUUCUUCCUGGUCCGAGAGGAAUGGGUAACCUUUUGAAAGUGCAUCGUGAUAGGGAUAGACUAUUGCAAUUAUUGGUCUUCAACGAGGAAUUCCUAGUAGACGUAGUUCAUCAGACUACAUCGAUUACGUCCCUGCCCUUUGUUCACACCGCCCGUCGCUCCUACCGAUUGAAUGCUCAGGUGAGCCAUUCGGACUUUCAUCAUGCUGGUUUCCAGUUUUGAUGAAGGAAAGUCUUGCGAACCUUAUCAUUUAGAGGAAGGAGAAGUCGUAACA
Molecule: ribosomal RNA, 324 nt
Filed under: uncultured eukaryote
Lineage: Eukaryota
Description: partial 18S ribosomal RNA
Rfam family: Eukaryotic small subunit ribosomal RNA
Source: RNAcentral